RNAcentral lists this small RNA (822 nucleotides) under Pongo abelii (Sumatran orangutan). RNAcentral's name for it is "processed transcript". The record is from RNAcentral. Lineage: Eukaryota; Metazoa; Chordata; Mammalia; Primates; Hominidae.
GAAAUAUAAGAACCGUGUACGGAGUCGUAUCUCCAACCUGAAGGAUGCCAAGAACCCUGACCUGCGGCGGAAUGUGCUGUGUGGGGCCAUAACACCUCAGCAGAUCGCCGUGAUGACCUCAGAGGUGAGCCCCUGUUGGAGGGGCUGGAGGGCUGCUCCCUCGGAGCGGUGGGCUAAGCCACUGGCCCCGUGCUCCAGGAGAUGGCCAGUGACGAGCUGAAGGAGAUCCGUAAGGCCAUGACCAAGGAGGCCAUCCGAGAGCACCAGAUGGCCCGCACUGGCGGCACGCAGACAGACCUGUUCACCUGCGGGAAGUGCAGGAAGAAGAACUGCACCUACACACAGGUGCAGACCCGCAGCUCUGACGAGCCCAUGACCACCUUUGUUGUCUGCAACGAGUGUGGAAACCGCUGGAAGGUGGGUGAGCGGGCUCAGGCUGCUCCUCCCAGCUCCAUUCUCUGGAGGUGGGGUGUCUCAGCCUCUGUGGGGUCUGUGGUGUGAACUGGGGAUGGCCCUGCCCGACCAGCCUCCUGGGAGUCUUGGGCAUGGUGGGUUGAGACCCCAGCCUUGGGUGAGCCUGUGCGGCUUUCCACUCUGGGGGAUCUCAUGUGGCCACAAGGCUGGAGGCCUCACCCCCUUUCUCGCAGUUCUGCUGAGCCCUCGUGUAGAUGUGCUGCAGCCUUGGGCCCUCCCCUGCCCACGUCCUCCGUUGACACAGCUUCUCUGGAGACCCUAGAAGGCGGCAUGUCCUGCCCUCAACCUGCCUGCCUGGAUUGCACCUUUCUGCCCUUUCCCCCUCGUUAUUAAAUGUUUCUUUUUGCC